This 253-nucleotide ribosomal RNA is filed under the name uncultured bacterium. RNAcentral describes it as "partial 16S ribosomal RNA". It matches the Rfam family "Bacterial small subunit ribosomal RNA", at positions 524 to 776 of the family's 1533-position model. The record is from RNAcentral.
UACGUAGGGGGCGAGCGUUGUCCGGAAUCAUUGGGCGUAAAGCGCGUGUAGGCGGCUUGGUCAGUCCGGCGUGAAACCUCUCGGCUCAACCGGGAGCCUGCGCUGGAUACUGCCUCGCUCGAGUCCGGGAGGGGAGAGCGGAAUUCCCAGUGUAGCGGUGAAAUGCGCAGAUAUUGGGAAGAACACCGGUGGCGAAGGCGGCUCUCUGGAACGGUACUGACGCUGAGACGCGAAAGCGUGGGGAGCAAACAGG